Molecule: ribosomal RNA, 951 nt
Filed under: uncultured bacterium
Lineage: Bacteria
Description: bacterial SSU rRNA
Rfam family: Bacterial small subunit ribosomal RNA
Source: RNAcentral
GAGUUUGAUCCUGGCUCAGGACGAACGCUGGCGGCGUGCCUAAUACAUGCAAGUCGAGCGCAGGAAAUAAACGGAUCCCUUCGGGGUGAUGUUUAUGGAAUGAGCGGCGGACGGGUGAGUAACACGUGGGCAACCUGCCUGUAAGAUCGGGAUAACUCGCGGAAACGUGAGCUAAUACCGGAUAACACUUUUCAUCUCAUGGUGAGAAGAUAAAAGACGGUUUCGGCUGUCACUUACAGAUGGGCCCGCGGCGCAUUAGCUAGUUGGUGAGGUAACGGCUCACCAAGGCGACGAUGCGUAGCCGACCUGAGAGGGUGAUCGGCCACACUGGGACUGAGACACGGCCCAGACUCCUACGGGAGGCAGCAGUAGGGAAUCUUCCGCAAUGGACGAAAGUCUGACGGAGCAACGCCGCGUGAGUGAUGAAGGUUUUCGGAUCGUAAAACUCUGUUGUUAGGGAAGAACAGGUUGGGUAGUAACUGACCCAACCUUGACGGUACCUAACCAGAAAGCCACGGCUAACUACGUGCCAGCAGCCGCGGUAAUACGCAGGUGGCAAGCGUUGUCCGGAAUUAUUGGGCGUAAAGCGCUCGCAGGCGGUCUUUUAAGUCUGAUGUGAAAGCCCACGGCUUAACCGUGGAGGGUCAUUGGAAACUGGAGGACUUGAGUACAGAAGAGGAGAGUGGAAUUCCGCGUGUAGCGGUGAAAUGCGUAGAGAUGUGGAGGAACACCAGUGGCGAAGGCGACUCUCUGGUCUGUAACUGACGCUGAGGAGCGAAAGCGUGGGUAGCGAACAGGAUUAGAUACCCUGGUAGUCCACGCCGUAAACGAUGAGUGCUAGGUGUUAGGGGGUUUCCGCCCCUUAGUGCUGAAGUUAACGCAUUAAGCACUCCGCCUGGGGAGUACGGCCGCAAGGCUGAAACUCAAAAGAAUUGACGGGGCCCGCACAAG